GUAGGUGGCAAGCGUUGUCCGGAAUUAUUGGGCGUAAAGCGCGCGCAGGUGGGUUCUUUAAGUCUGAUGUGAAAGCCCCCGGGCUCAACCGGGGAGGGUCAUUGGAAACUGGGGGAACUUGAGUGCAGGAGAGGAAAGUGGAAUUCCACGUGUAGCGGUGAAAUGCGUAGAUAUGUGGAGGAACACCAGUGGCGAAGGCGACUUUCUGGCCUGUAACUGACACUGAGGCGCGAAAGCGUGGGGAGCAAACAGGAUUAGAUACCCUGGUAGUCCACGCCGUAAACGAUGAGUGCUAAGUGUUGGGGGGUUUCCGCCCCUCAGUGCUGCAGCUAACGCAUUAAGCACUCCGCCUGGGGAGUACGGUCGCAAGACUG
Molecule: ribosomal RNA, 374 nt
Filed under: uncultured organism
Description: partial 16S ribosomal RNA
Rfam family: Bacterial small subunit ribosomal RNA
Source: RNAcentral